UCCAAAAGGCUGGGCUGACUGGGUCACAUAUUCUGUGAUCAUCACUCACUUGGGACUAGCCGGACUAGGAAGAAAGGAUACUUCACCCUGUGGCUCACUGUGGGCACUCAUCCAACCGACAAGUCAGAAAGAAAAGAAGAAAAGAUGACAUAACACCCACAACCUCCGGCUCUCCGUGCCCACAAAGUGCAGCCAUGUCUAUCUGCCCAGGCCAGAGAAGGCCUUCUGGAGCAUUCCAAUCAGCUGACAUUGCUUAUCUCUUCCUGGAAGAAGGUAUGGGAAGAGUGAAGCAUCCAGCAAGAGCAUGAGCAGAGAAACAGCUGGAGGUAAACAAGAUUGGAAGUAAUCAAAGACACCUGACAGUAAUCAAAGCCUCCUUAUUGUAAGGGCUCCAUUGUCUUCCUGAUCAUGAACUGCCAACUCUCUCACAAAAUAUCGGCAGAGAAACAUUAUAAACAGGAAGGAAGAAGGAACUUUGUUUCAGAAGCUACAGUAAAGCAUCCGCCUUUCCAAAUGGUUCAGAGCCACUGUGUACAGCUCCGUCUGCUAUUAAAAUCUGUUUUCAGAUUAGACACCACCACACACACAUACCUUCAAUUACUAGAGAAUCAUAGUAAUGGUUUUAUUUCUUUUUAAAUGCCCACUAUUAGGCCCACAAGAAAGGAGGGGAGAGCGAGAAAGAAAAAGGGUAGGAGAGGGGCUUGACAGAAGGGAAAAUAAGUCCCUUCCAGGUAGACAAGCUUCAAGUUAAUGAAGUGUUCCUCUAGCAAGAUUCUCAACAAGAUGUGAGACAUUCCUCUGUCCCUGGGGGGUCCCACCAUGGAAACUCGGGUUUGUAAAAAGCCCCCUUUAAAUGUGCCUUUCAGAACUGAAUAUACCAGAUGAGAUGGAGUGGGGCCAACCCAGAUUUAAGUGGGUUGCGGCCAUCCUUCCAUCCCUGAUGAGGAUGGCAGGCUGUACUUCAACUCCACCUUGACCUCAUGCUAAGACUCAAGUCCAGUCGACGAAGUCUAGCGUCGAUCAGUACUCACCCACACUCCACAGGGUAGAAUCACAAGUACCCUCUCCUACCAAAUCUGAUACCCAACUGCCUUCCCCACUAUGCUUUUGAACAAACCCUUCAUUCCAGGUAGGCCAGCCGACCCACUUUCUGUACGAUUUUUGUAUUUUGAACUUUUUAAUAGGAACAUAAUUCUUAACACAUACAAAGUAUCAAAAAUUGUUUAAGGAAGCCCCAAUGUAUCCUUCACUCAGCUUCAGCAAUUAUCAACUCCUAUCACACCCACGCCCAGGAUUAUUUUGAGUCCUUGUGGAUAUAUCAUUUCAUCCACAAUUAUUUCAGUAUUGCAGCCAUUCUUCCCUGCACACCUCUGCUUAGACAGUUCCUCUUCCCAUCCCCAUCUUUCCUAAUUCUAUGUCAUCCUGCAAGGCUCAGCUCAGGUCUAACCUCCUACGUCGUUUCCACUGAACUUAUCACUUAGCCAUGUCACGUUGGGACAUCGCUUUUGUUGCUAUUCUUUGUGUUCCUUACCCCUUAAACUGUUCACUUACAACAACGUCCUUAGCCUUGAAAGCAGGAAACCUCUCCCAGCAUACAUAUACAGCAAUAACAAAUGCUUAGAAGGGAAAGAACUAAAGAAUAAUAAAGAGCAUUACAUUUGGUUGCACAGUUUUAUACAGUAUAUUGACAUAAUUCCUUUUACGAGAAAUGUCUCAUAGCACAGACCAGGGUAUGUUGGCACUGUAUGACAAGGCAAAAAUAACACUGGAUGUGGAGUUAAAAGGCCUGCGUUCUUGUCCCCACCCUUCUGUUUUGUCCAUUAUUUUGGGUCUGAGUGACUUACAAGCCCACCCAUAAAAUAGGAAUUAACUGCAGCCAUCCUCCCUCUUUCCCUUACAGG
This is a long non-coding RNA of Neogale vison (American mink), 1901 nucleotides long. RefSeq lists it as uncharacterized. Lineage: Eukaryota; Metazoa; Chordata; Mammalia; Carnivora; Mustelidae. The transcript is spliced from 4 exons. The record is from RefSeq and is a predicted model, not a curated record.